GAAGACAUGAGAAAGAGGGCCAAGAGUGCA
Molecule: non-coding RNA, 30 nt
Filed under: Mus musculus (house mouse)
Lineage: Eukaryota; Metazoa; Chordata; Mammalia; Rodentia; Muridae
Source: RNAcentral